This is a long non-coding RNA of Quercus robur (English oak), 365 nucleotides long. RefSeq lists it as uncharacterized. Lineage: Eukaryota; Viridiplantae; Streptophyta; Magnoliopsida; Fagales; Fagaceae. The transcript is spliced from 3 exons. The record is from RefSeq and is a predicted model, not a curated record.
AACAUACAAGUAAGCUGUUUCUUGUCUUCUCUACGGCUGUGUAGGAGAAUCAGGUUCUAAUUCUACUGAAUUGUUGUGAUUCAAGGGAGGUUGAUUUCCUUUAUUUUUGCAACUAAGAGAUACAUUAGGUGGAUUAUUGGAGUAGAGAUUCUUGGGAGACAGAAGUUACAAAUUAAUUUUUGUGGAACUGAGGAUUUUAUUAUUAUUUUAUGGCAUUAAACUUUGUAUUGGAGAAUUAUUUUGAGGAUGUUUUGUAUUUGGUGAAUUAGAGCUCUGACUUUUGUAAUCAGUUUCAAGGUUGCUAGUUUCUUUUAUUUAAUAUUUUUAUGGAUUAUUCAGAUUAAAUAGACUUUUAUUGCCUAUGA